AAGAUUAAGAUUGAGUAUAUUAUUGUGGUUUGACAUAUCUCUGAAUAUCAAGUGUAUGCGUGUACCUCUUUGUUUCAUUGAUGAAUAUAUGUGUAUUUGGAAACCUUUUGGUGUUGUAAAAGGCUUCUCCAAAGUCAUCAAAUGUUAUUGAUGUAUCAUAUUAAUAAUAGUUUGUAUCAUAUUAGUUAUGACUAUUUUCCAAUAUUCACAUUUU
RNAcentral lists this unclassified non-coding RNA (214 nucleotides) under Hevea brasiliensis (rubber tree). The record is from RNAcentral. Lineage: Eukaryota; Viridiplantae; Streptophyta; Magnoliopsida; Malpighiales; Euphorbiaceae.